AACGAACGCUGGCGGCAGGCCUAACACAUGCAAGUCGAACGCCCUAGCAAUAGGGAGUGGCAGACGGGUGAGUAACGCGUGGGAACGUGCCUUUCGGUUCGGAAUAACUCAGGGAAACUUGAGCUAUUACCGGAUACGCCCUUCGGGGGAAAGAUUUAUUGCCGAACGAUCGGCCCGCAUCCGAUUAGCUAGUUGGUGAGGUAAAGGCUCACCAAGGCGCCGAUCGGUACCUGGUCUGAGAGGAUGAUCAGCCACACUGGGACUGAGACACGGCCAAGACGACUACGGGAGGCAGCAGUGGGGAAUAUUGGACAAGGGGCGCAGGCCUGAUCCAGCCAUGCCGCGUGAGGGAUGAAGGCCCUAGGGUUGUAAAGCUCUUUCGCCGGGGACGAUAAUGACGGUACCUGGAUAAGAAGCCCCGGCUAACUUCGUGCCAGCCGCCGCGGUAA
RNAcentral lists this ribosomal RNA (449 nucleotides) under uncultured bacterium. RNAcentral's name for it is "partial 16S ribosomal RNA". It matches the Rfam family "Bacterial small subunit ribosomal RNA", at positions 29 to 523 of the family's 1533-position model. The record is from RNAcentral.